This 481-nucleotide ribosomal RNA is filed under the name uncultured bacterium. RNAcentral describes it as "partial 16S ribosomal RNA". It matches the Rfam family "Bacterial small subunit ribosomal RNA", at positions 28 to 507 of the family's 1533-position model. The record is from RNAcentral.
GAUGAACGCUGGCGGCGUGCUUAACACAUGCAAGUCGAACGAAGCACUUUAUUUGAUUUCCUUCGGGACUGAUUAUUUUGUGACUGAGUGGCGGACGGGUGAGUAACGCGUGGGUCACCUGCCUUGUACAGGGGGAUAACAGUUGGAAACGGCUGCUAAUACCGCAUAAGCGCACGGCAUCGCAUGAUGCAGUGUGAAAAACUCCGGUGGUAUAAGAUGGACCCGCGUUGGAUUAGCUAGUUGGUGAGGUAACGGCCCACCAAGGCGACGAUCCAUAGCCGACCUGAGAGGGUGACCGGCGACAUUGGGACUGAGACACGGCCGAGACUCCUACGGGAGGGAGCAGUGGGGAAUAUUGCAAAAUGGGCGAAAGGAUGAUGCAGCGACGCCGCGUGAGCGAAGAAGUAUUUCGGUAUGUAAAGCUCUAUCAGCAGGGAAGAUAAUGACGGUACCUGACGAAGAAGCACCGGCUAAAUACGUG